Molecule: long non-coding RNA, 1963 nt
Organism: Hippocampus zosterae (dwarf seahorse)
Lineage: Eukaryota; Metazoa; Chordata; Actinopteri; Syngnathiformes; Syngnathidae
Exons: 3
Source: RefSeq, a predicted model, not a curated record
GGAAGUGACAUCACAACGCUGACCUUCCGCACUGGCCCGUAUCACCUGGCGCUGCCUGGACGGCAGUUAUGGAGCGGCCAUUUUGACACUUGCUGUUGACUGAGAAUGACAUCGCGGUGCCUCAGGGCUCAACUGGUCAACGUGAGAGGACAAAACCAGAAAACAGCUGCUUCUUCUGUCCCGAGAUGCUUCACGUUGUCUGUCUGGCUCACGCAGGAUGCACAAGAAGAAGCCAUUAAUGGGGGGCGGGUGGGCGGCUAGCAGCCAGCAGCAGCAAGCAGCAGCCGUGGGAGGCCAGCCAGCCAAGUUGCUAUGUGGACAAUGAAAUUCCAGUUCAACAAAAACAUCCUGCACAAGUGAGAGAGAGAGAGAGAGAGAGAGAGAGACAACAGCGGUCUGCAAUGUCAAAAUAAAACAACGUUCCUGCAUUUGUGUACCUGUAGCGCAGCAAGAGGCAUGACAGUCACAUGUUUGAGGUUCAACUGCAGGUCAGGCUGCUUAAAAAUAGCUCAGGAUGUCCUGCACUGUCCCUGUAACACUUUUUUUUUUUUAAUUUGCCAUUCCACGUCCUCUGGGGGCGGGCUGCUCCUGAAAUUCAAAUGAUUAUCGAGAGUGGAGCACAGUUCAAAUCCAAGCUGAAGCUUUCACGUUUUGAUUUUUUCUUUCUUGCCGCGUUUCCUCCCACCUUGCACAAACUUGCAUGUUCGAAUCGAUGGAUGACUCAAAAUUGUCCUCAGGUGUAAAUGCGAGGGUGAAUGCUAUAUGUGUGGGGGGCCGGAUCAAACUGCUUUACUGUAAACAAUAUCAAACAAAGCCGUCAGGCUCCAGAUGUAACUUUUUUUUUUAAACCGUCAGUCAAUGCUUGCGCAUGUUUUACACCACUAACGGGUUCAACGUCUAGAUGAGUGCUUUGUCAUGUUGUCUUUUUUUCCCCCACGGCUCACCCAUACUUCACAGAAUUUGUCAUACUGAGCUUUCAUUGGGAAAAUGAAACGCUAUACCUUCAAGUCUAAAAUGGCGAAGUAUUUGCGAUAGCUGUUCAGUCAAGGUCGCAAGUGUAAGCUAACAACAUCAGCUGACGAAAAGCCACACAACCAAGAGCAUGAACAAAUAUAAGGCAAUAGAUUCGGAGAAGCGAGUUCGUAUGAAUAUUGGUGACCUAUGACCUUAUUGAAGAGAAUCGUUUGAUCCUGUCAACUCCGAGAAUGAUUCUCGGCAAAUGCGUCAUCUCUCGUGCUAGCUUAAAAGCGACGAGCUUUUAGCAUUCAAAUAAGGGAUGGCACUCACAUCUCCGUCGUAGAGUUAACAUGCGCUCAAAGUACAACAAAAUGAAAAGGAAGUUAGCAAAAUUGGGCUUCUAGCCACCACUCAGUGAAAAAUCAUGUCACUCUGGCCACGCCACUGAAAAAAAAAAAUCUCUGGCUACGCUUCUGCUCCAAAUAAAUUAUCUCAUAAAUGAGAAGCAAGUAAUAAUCCUUCAAUGACUGGAAGGCUUAGUUCAGAACAGAACUUUGACAAGAGCGCACAAGGGGACAUAUAUGUGCGGGUAACAUAAAACCAUCCCUCCCAAAGCACAGGCAAGGGAGGGGAAGCCUACCCAAAAUGCAUCAGGCCCUUUUAUGCUAGCAGUGAAAGGAUGAAGCCAGAUGAAUGACAAAAGGGAGAGAAUGGCGAUCUGGGUUGGUCCUGCUUGGUUGGAAGACAAGGAGGGAGACGAACGAAGGGAGUGUUGCGUGUGUGUGUGUGUAGGGGAGGUUGCUUUCUGUGGGAAAAGCGGACUACUUUUGUACAUUCAUGACAAUAGAGAAAUAAAAUGCAUACACGGAAAGUUUGGGGUUUAAUGUUUUCUUUACUGGCUUGUACACAAACGUACAAAAAUAAUACAGCACUCCUCUCCACGUGACACCACGUCAUCAUCACAGUGUUACAAACAUUCAAAAUAAAAUUCAGGAAAAAAAAAAAA